GGUGAAGUCAAGACUGUUUUGGAUACUACUCCAAUGAUUUUAUUGGCCAUACAUGUAAACAAAGAUAAUGAAGUAAUAGUCGGAAUUAGAGAACAAGGACCAGCGUUUCCGGUCCAGGAUUUUUCGGUCAGACAAGUUAUAAUUUUCAAUAGUGAUUAUGAACGGAAAUUUACAUUAGAAUUCGACAAAAAAGGAAAUAAACUGUUCAGUUAUGCAUUGCACAUUCGCACCGAUUCUAAAAAUAUUGCCUAUGUUGUUGAUUGUUUAGACAGACAUAAAAAUGGUAGAAUAGUAGCUGUAGAUAUAAAUGGCCGCAUUAAGUUUACCUAUGACGGACAAAAGAAUUUAGUAACCUUCAAACCACAUGCAAUUACUGUAACGCAAAGUGACAACAUUGUUGUUGCAGAUUAUAGUAACGAUGCGCUUCAUGUUAUCAAUUCGAACGGAGAUUUACUUGGACUUCAGUUCAUUUGUAAAGACUUUGGAAUAACUGAACUAUAUAGUUUAUGCUUUGACUCUGAUGGAUAUUUAUUAAUUGGUUGUGGAAAAGCCAAACAUGAAAACAACGGAAAAAUACAUGUCGCUAAAACCAUAGAUAGUCUGAAGUGAUAUGUUCGGUUGUAAAUUGAAAUUUGAAAUGAUUGAAUAUAAUAAAAGGCGA
This 661-nucleotide long non-coding RNA is filed under the name Mytilus galloprovincialis (Mediterranean mussel). The record is from RNAcentral. Lineage: Eukaryota; Metazoa; Mollusca; Bivalvia; Mytilida; Mytilidae.